This 494-nucleotide ribosomal RNA is filed under the name uncultured bacterium. RNAcentral's name for it is "partial 16S ribosomal RNA". It matches the Rfam family "Bacterial small subunit ribosomal RNA", at positions 28 to 507 of the family's 1533-position model. The record is from RNAcentral.
GACGAACGCUGGCGGCGUGCUUAACACAUGCAAGUCGAACGGUGAAGCGCCUUCCUUUUUGGUGGGUGUGGAUGAGUGGCGAACGGGUGAGUAACACGUGAGUAACCUGCCCCCUUCUUCUGGAUAACCGCAUGAAAGUGUGGCUAAUACGGGAUAUUCUGGGUCUGUCGCAUGAUGGGUCUGGGAAAGAUAUUGUUUCGGUGGGGGAUGGGCUCGCGGCCUAUCAGCUUGUUGGUGGGGUGAUGGCCUACCAAGGCGGUGACGGGUAGCCGGCCUGAGAGGGUGGACGGUCACACUGGGACUGAGACACGGCCCAGACUCCUACGGGAGGCAGCAGUGGGGAAUAUUGCACAAUGGGCGCAAGCCUGAUGCAGCGACGCCGCGUGAGGGAUGGAGGCCUUCGGGUCGUGAACCUCUUUCGCCAGUGAAGCAGGCCUGCCUCGUUUGUGGGUGGGUUGACGGUAGCUGGAUAAGAAGCGCCGGCUAACUACGCG